UACCAGCACCCCGAGUGGUCGGGACGAUUAUUGGGCCUAAAGCAUCCGUAGCCGGCCUUACAAGUCCCCCGUUAAAUCCAACUGCUUAACAGAUGGGCUGCGGAGGAUACUAUAAGACUAGGAGGCAGGAGAGGCAAGCGGUACUCAGUGGGUAGGGGUAAAAUCCGUUGACCCAUUGAAGACCACCAGUGGCGAAGGCGGCUUGCCAGAAUGCGCUCGACGGUGAGGGAUGAAAGCUGGGGGAGCAAACCGG
This 253-nucleotide ribosomal RNA is filed under the name uncultured bacterium. RNAcentral's name for it is "partial 16S ribosomal RNA". It matches the Rfam family "Archaeal small subunit ribosomal RNA", at positions 474 to 727 of the family's 1478-position model. The record is from RNAcentral.